AACCUAGCACACCUGCGGUGUGUACCUGCGGAAGGAUCAUUACCUAGAGUUGUAGGCUUUGCCUGCUAUCUCUUACCCAUGUCUUUUGAGUACCUUACGUUUCCUCGGUGGGCUCGCCCACCGAUUGGACAAAUUUAAACCCUUUGCAGUUGAAAUCAGCGUCUGAAAAAACUUAAUAGUUACAACUUUUAACAAUGGAUCU
RNAcentral lists this unclassified non-coding RNA (202 nucleotides) under soil metagenome. RNAcentral describes it as "partial contains 5.8S ribosomal RNA, internal transcribed spacer 2, and large subunit ribosomal RNA". The record is from RNAcentral.